AACACCCGUUGAUCCUGCGGGAGAUAGCUGCUAUGGGGAUUCGAAUUAGCCAUGCAAGUCAGGGAGCAAUCCCGGCGAAUCGCUCAGUAACACGUCGAUAAUCUGCCGUAUGGUCAGGGAUAACCUCGGGAAACUGAGUGGAAUACCUGAUAGGAAACGAUGGCUGGAAUGCCUUGUUUCUGAAACUCGAGCCAUACGAUGAGUCGGCGGCGGAUUAGGUUGUUGGUGGGGUAAUGGCCCACCAAGCCGAAGAUCCGUACGGGCCAUGAGAGUGGGAGCCCGGAGAGGGACACUGAGAUACUGGUCCCAGCCCUACGGGGUGCAGCAGGCGCGAAAACUCUUCAAUGCACGAAAGUGUGAAAGGGGAAUCCCCAGUGCUUAUGCAUUGCAUAGGCUUUUGCCAAGUGUAAAUAGCUUGGCGAAUAAGUGGUGGGUAAGACCGGUGCCAGCCGCCGCGGUAACACCGGCGCCACAAGUGGUUAUCACGAUUAUUGGGCCUAAAGCGUUCGUAGCCGGCUUGGUAAAUCUUUUGUGAAAUCGUCUCGCUCAACGUGACGGCGCGCAGAGGACACUGCCAGGCUCGAGACCGGGAGGGGUUAGACGUAUUCCGGGGGACCGGUAAAUGGGGAUAAUCCUCGGAGGACGACCGAUGGCGAAGGCAUCUAACCAGAACGGAUUUGACGGUGAGGAACGAAAGCUAGGGGAGCAAACCGGAUUAGAUACCCGAGUAGUCCUAGCCGUAAACGCUGUGAGCUAGGUGUUGCGUAUCCUACGGGGAUGCGCAGUGUCGAAAGGAAGCUGAUAAGCUCACCGCCUGGGAAGUACGGUCGCAAGGCUGAAACUUUAAGGAAUUGACGGGGGAGCACCACAAGGGGUGCGGCGUGCGGUUUAAUCUAAUUCAACGCAGAGAACCUCACUAGAGGCGACGGCAGGAUGAAGGUCAGUCUGAAGGGCUUACUUGACGAGCCGAGAGGUGCUGCAUGGCCGCCGUCAGCUCGUGCUGUGAAGUGUCCAGUUAAGUCUGGCAACGAGCGAGAUCUGCAUCCACAGUUGCUAACAGCGCAUGCGGACUGAGCACACUGUGGAGACUGCCUUCGUAAGAAGGAGGAAGGUGUAGGCUACGGUAGGUCUGUAUGGCCCGAAUCUUCUAGGCUACACGCGCGCAACAAUGGUUGGGACAAUGGGAUGCAACACCGAAAGGUGAAGCCAAACCUCAAAACCCAAUCUUAGUCCGGAUUGAGGCUUGCAACUCAGCCUCAUGACGUCGGAAUCCCUAGUAAUCGGACGUCAUCAUCGUCUGGUGAAUAUGUCCCUGCUCCUUGCACACACCGCCCGUCAAACCACCCGAGCAGGGUCUGGGUGAAAUGCACCUUUUUGGGUACAUUGAACCUAGGCUCAGUGAGGUGGGUUAAGUCGUCACAAGGUAUCCGUAGGGGAACCUGCGGAUGGAUCACCUCCUAU
This 1461-nucleotide ribosomal RNA is filed under the name Nitrosarchaeum sp. RNAcentral's name for it is "bacterial SSU rRNA". It matches the Rfam family "Archaeal small subunit ribosomal RNA". The record is from RNAcentral. Lineage: Archaea; Thermoproteati; Nitrososphaerota; Nitrososphaeria; Nitrosopumilales; Nitrosopumilaceae.